RNAcentral lists this long non-coding RNA (2290 nucleotides) under Mus musculus (house mouse). RNAcentral describes it as "long non-coding RNA chr18:45482101-45484391". Lineage: Eukaryota; Metazoa; Chordata; Mammalia; Rodentia; Muridae. The record is from RNAcentral.
ACGUUAUAAAAUGCCUGCUCCAGUUAUGUUACCUGGAAGAGCUUGAGAAGAGUGAGUACGUUUUUAGUCUGUUCAGUAGAAAUGUUUACUGAUGUCUCGUCCAGAACUUUUGUUUGUGGAAAGAUUAAUUAUUGAUUUAAUCUCUCAAUGUCUCUUUUUAUAGAUCUGUUCAGAUUUUCUAAUUUUUCUUGACACAAGUUUUUCACUUUGUGUAAUUCUAAGAAUUCCUAUUCAUGUCAGUUACUAAUGUGUGGGUAUACAGUUAUUUAUAUAGUCUCUGAUAAUCUUUUAUUUUGCUCUGGGUUUAAUAAUAUUACCGUUUUUAUUUCUGACUUUACAUUUUUCAUGGUUUCUCUCUUUUGCCACAGUCCAAUGGAAGGUUUAUUGUCUCAACAUUCUGGUUUCACUGCUCUGUUUUUAAAUAAUCACACUUCGGUGUCUGAUUUUGAUAUUUUCAUGUGGUCUUUCCUUUAUCUACACUUCAGUGCAUUGUUUCCUGUCUUCUUUCAGCUUUUGUUCUUCUUUUUCUGAUUCUGGAAGGGAUAUGCUACAUUCUUGACUUGAGGUGUUGUUUUCACAAAUGCAAUCAUUGAAUGCUGUAACUUUAACCAUGAGGAAAGACUUUCCUGUGUCUACUAAGAUAGGACAAUGGUCUAAUUUGUUAUCAGUCUUCUCUGAACAUUUCUGAUUUCCUUUAUUUCUUCUCUGUCUCCAACACCUAGUCUGCUUUCCAUUUUGUAUCUAUUUUCCAUUUUGACAUCUGUUAGUGAUUUGGAAUUUUAACCCCCUGCUGCUAAAGAAGCUACUUUGUAAGGUUAAGUGGUCCUUUUAAAUUUAUUGAGACACCUUUAGCCAAAUGGUUUUUUUUAAUUCUACAUGGAUGGAUCCCGAGGAUAUCAUCCUGAGUGAGGUAACACAGUCACAAAAGAACACACAUGGUAUGCACACACUGAGAAGUAGAUCUUAGCCCAGAAGCUUGGAAUACCCAAGAUGCAAAUCGUGAAAGACAUGAAACUCAAGAAAAAGAAAGACCAAAGUGUGGCUACUUUGAUCCUUCUUAGAAGAGAGAACAAAAUACCCAUGGAAGGAGUUAAAGAAAGAAAGUGUGGAGCCGAGACCAAAGGAAUGACCAUCUAGAGACUGCCCCACCAGGAGAUCCAUCCCAUAUACAACCACCAAACCCAGACACUAUUGUGGAUGCCAACAAGAGCUUGCUGACAGCCUGAUAUAGCUGUCUCCUGAGAGGCUUUGCCAGUGCCUGACAAAUACAGAAGUGAAUGCUCACAGACAUCCAUUGGAUGGAGCACAGGGUCCUCAACGAAGGAGCUAGAGAUGGAACCCAAGGAGCUGAAGGGGUUUGUAGUCCCAUAGGAGGAACAACAAUAUGAAAUAACCAGUACCCCCAGAGCUCCCUGGGACUAGACCACCAGCCAAAGCUCUAGCUGCAUAUGUAGCAGAGGAUGGCCUUGUCAGUCAUCCAUGGGAGAAGAGAACACAUGGUGGGACUCAUGGCUCCAGCUGCAUAUGUAGCAGAGGAUGGCCUUGUCGGUCAUCCAUGGGAGAAGAGAACACAUGGUGGGACUCAUGGCUCCAGCUGCAUAUGUAGCAGAGGAUGGCCUUGUCAGUCAUCCAUGGGAGAAGAGAACACAUGGUGGGACUCAUGGCUCCAGCUGCAUAUGUAGCAGAGGAUGGCCUAGUCGGUCAUCCAUGGGAGAAGAGAACACAUGGUGGGACUCAUGGCUCCAGCUGCAUAUGUAGCAGAGGAUGGCCUAGUCGGUCAUCAAUGGAAGGAGAAGCCCUUGGUCCUGUGAAGGUUUUAUGCCCCAGUAUAGGGAAAUUCCAGGGCCAGAAAGCAAGAGUGGAUGGGUUGGUGAGCAGGGGGAGAGGGGAGGGGAUAGGGGGUUUUCGGAGGGGACACCAGGAAACAAGAUAAGAUAUGAAAUGUAAAUUUUUAAAAUAUCUAAAAAAAUCUAAUAAAAAAUAAGUAAAUAAAUAAAAUUAAAUUUAUUGAGCUUUAGCCAAAUAUUUUUUAAUUCCACAUCUCUCAUGGGUGGUUUGUUGUUGUUGUUCCUAUUGUUAUUGUCACUGUUUUGUUUACAUUGGCUUUGGUUCCUGGUAGAUACGUGCAUACACUUUAUUCUAUACUGAAAGUGUAAAAUUUAAUUGGAAGUGACUAUUUUAACUAUACAGAAAUUCAUUGAGUUCUACAGAUUUGUGGUACGGUUAGUUUUGAUGUGUGAUAUUCAUAUUAGUUUGCAAGCUAUUUUAAAAUAAAGCUAAUAAAUAAAUU